Molecule: small nucleolar RNA, 86 nt
Organism: Cucurbita moschata (crookneck pumpkin)
Lineage: Eukaryota; Viridiplantae; Streptophyta; Magnoliopsida; Cucurbitales; Cucurbitaceae
Product: small nucleolar RNA Z122
Exons: 1
Source: RefSeq, a predicted model, not a curated record
UUUGGGAAAUGACGACAAGCUACAGAAAACGUUCAGAGGCAGCUGCUAUGCUGAACUUAUUAUUUGCACGUCAGUCUGAUCCCUUG